CAGCCCCCUGCCGACCACCACACCCGACCCCACUGCGCCGACGCACCACACGCGGCCGACGAAGCCGACCCCGCCGCCGGGCCCGACGCCGGAGCCCAGCCACGUCUGCGUGAAGCCCGGCCUCAACCCCGACCCGGACAAGAUGUGCUCUCCCUACUUCUACGAGUGCGUCCAGAACGGCGACAGCUGGGACUACCAGCAGUUCUCGUGCGGCGACGGUUCGGUGUUUGACCGAGUCAAGCUCGUGUGCGUGUGGCCGGACGACUCCGACGAGUGCAAGACCACACCAGCGCCAUCUGCGUAGAUCUUGACCGACGCCGGCGUU
Long non-coding RNA from Pollicipes pollicipes, 325 nucleotides. RefSeq lists it as uncharacterized. The record is from RefSeq and is a predicted model, not a curated record. NCBI's taxonomy places the organism in Eukaryota, Metazoa, Arthropoda, Thecostraca, Pollicipedomorpha, Pollicipedidae. The transcript is spliced from 3 exons.